This 107-nucleotide ribosomal RNA is filed under the name Streptomyces goshikiensis. RNAcentral's name for it is "23S ribosomal RNA". Lineage: Bacteria; Bacillati; Actinomycetota; Actinomycetes; Kitasatosporales; Streptomycetaceae. The record is from RNAcentral.
CGCCCAAUAUCGAAUCAGGCGAUGCUAAGUCCGUGAAGCCGUUCCGGACCCUUCGGGGAAUGGAAAGUGGUGGAGCCGACGAACCAGACUUGUAGUAGGUAAGCGAU